This 1431-nucleotide long non-coding RNA is filed under the name Gallus gallus (chicken). Its description in RNAcentral is "lncRNA (ENSGALG00010000572.1)". Lineage: Eukaryota; Metazoa; Chordata; Aves; Galliformes; Phasianidae. The record is from RNAcentral.
UACGGUUAGGGUUGGGUUUUUGUUUAAGGUUUGGUUUAGGGUUAAGGUUAGGGUCAGGGUAGGGUUAGUGUUAGGUUUACGGUUAGGGUUAGUGUUAAGGUUAGCAUUAUGGUUAGGUUUAGGAUUAGCUUUAAAAUUAGAUUUAGGUUUAGGUUAGGUUUAUUGUUAGGGUUAGAGUGAAGUUAGGGUUAGGGUUAGGGUUAGGGUUUGUUUUAUGGUUAGGAUAUGGUUAUGGUUAGGGUUAGGGUUAGGGUUAGGGUUAGCGUUAGGGUUAGCGUUAGGGUUAGGGUUAGGGUUAACUUAGGGUUAGGGUUAUGGUUAGGUAAAGGGUUAGGAUUUGGUUUAGGUUUAGGGUUAGCAUCAAGGUUAGGGUUAGUGUUAGGUUUAGGGUUAGGUGUAGGGUUAGGGGUAGGGUUAGGGUAAGAUUAGCGUUAGGGUUAGGGUUAGGGUUAACUUAGGGUUAGGGUUAUGGUUAGGUAAAGGGUUAGGAUUUGGUUUAGGUUUAGGGUUAGCAUCAAGGUUAGGGUUAGUGUUAGGUUUAGGGUUAGGUGUAGGGUUAGGUGUAGGUUUAGGGUUAGAAUUUGGGUUAGGUUUAGGGUUAGGGUUAGGUUUAGGGUUAGUUUUAGGGUUUGGGUUAGGGUCAGGGUAAGGUUAGGGUUAGAUUUAGGGAUAGGGUUAGUGUUUAGGUUUGCGUUAUGUUUAGGUUUAGGGUUAGGGUUAAGAUUAGGUUUAGGGUAGUUUUAUGGAUAGGGUUAGAGUGAAGUUUGUGUUGGGGUUAGCGUUAGGGUUAGGAUUAUUCUUAGGGGUAGCGUAGGGGUAAUGUUAGGGUUUGGGUUAGGGUUGGGAUUAGGGUUAGGUUUAUAAUAGGGUUAGGGUUAAGUUUAGGGUUAAUGUACGGUUAGCCUUAGGGUUAGGGUUAUCGGUAAAGUUUAGGGUUUUUGAUAGGGUUAGGGUAGGGUAAGGAUUAGGGUAACGUUUAGGUUAGGGUUAGGUUUAGGGUUGGGUUUAGGCUUAGGUUUGGGGUUAGGGUUAGUAUUAUGUUUAGUUACAUUUAGGGUUACGUUUAGGGUUACAGUUAGGGUUAGGGUUUUGGUAAGUUUUAGGAUUAAGGUUAGGGUUACGUUUUGUAUUGAGAUUAGUGUUAGGUUUAGUGUUUUGUUUAGGGUUAGUGUAAGGGUUUGGGUUAGGUUUAGGGUUAGGGUUAGGGUUAGGGUUUGUUUUGGGCUUAGGGUAAGAGUUAGUGUUAAUGUUAGAAUUAGGUAAGGAUUAGGUUUAGGGUUAGGGUUAGGUUUUCGUUUAGGGUUAGGGUUAGGGUUUGUAUCAGGGUUAAGGUUAGAGUUAGGAAAUGUAGCUUCACCAAUUAGAAAUAAGAUACAAAUAGGAACAGUUAAGGUAGAGAGUGUUAGAGGAUAAAGAUUCCAAGCACUUUCA